UGGUGGGGUGACCUGUCUGGUUAAUUCCGAUAACGAACGAGACCUAGGCUGCUAAAUAGGGCGGUUAUCGCCAGCUAGGUGAAGCUUGGAUGGGCAACCAGAAGAGUGGAUCCUUGGUGCAUAGCUAGCAACUGCUUAUCAGGACUGCAAGCGUGUAGCUUGCGGAAGCUCUAGGCAAUAACA
This 183-nucleotide ribosomal RNA is filed under the name uncultured eukaryote. RNAcentral describes it as "partial 18S ribosomal RNA". It matches the Rfam family "Eukaryotic small subunit ribosomal RNA", at positions 1299 to 1458 of the family's 1831-position model. The record is from RNAcentral.